CCACUAACCACAUGGCAGAUUCAUUCAACAAUACAGGAGCUGACAAUCCAAAUUCUAAAAACACCACAUCCAUCUAACAACCUGCAAUUUAAUGGAAGAAAAACAUGGCAGCCCAUUACACGGUCAUAUCCUGCAAGAAACACACCGUCUAAUGAUCACCGCUCGUAGAAGCAGCAGCGGGGUCAGAGCGAAAGUGUUCACCUGGCUGAAAGAACAGAGGGACACACACAUCCAUCAGCAGAGCAAUACACACUUCCUGUUUGAGGUAUGUGAGGAGGAAAUAAGCUCUCCAGCUGAGCCAAGGAAGUCGUCAGAAAAUGUUCAAACGUCAAUCACUCGGCAUCUCUGAUAGCCAUUUCCUGCUGAGGAUGAUGAAGAUGGGUUGCGAUGAGUGCCAAAACUCACCUUUGACACCACAAUUGGGCACAACAGAGCAUCUGUUUAUAUCUCUUAUAAUGUAAGUGAUCACAGGAACUAACUUGUUUCAUGGAUGUUCCACAAGUAAACUAUAAGUGAAUAAAAUGUAUGAGAUGUCGUGCAUUGACAAAUACAAAAUUGUUAGCGUUGUUAUCAGCGUCAGGUCCAAGCAGUGUCUGUCAUGGUGUGUCAGUGCCCAUGGCAUGGGCAUCAGUGAGGGCACUAUUAAUGCAGGUGAUGUCUCUUGUGUGGAAUGAUGAGAAAACUGCAGUGUGUAAUCUCUGUAAUCUCUGCACUGAUAAAAA
This is a long non-coding RNA of Ictalurus punctatus (channel catfish), 722 nucleotides long. The record is from Ensembl. NCBI's taxonomy places the organism in Eukaryota, Metazoa, Chordata, Actinopteri, Siluriformes, Ictaluridae.